RNAcentral lists this ribosomal RNA (492 nucleotides) under uncultured bacterium. Its description in RNAcentral is "partial 16S ribosomal RNA". It matches the Rfam family "Bacterial small subunit ribosomal RNA", at positions 29 to 507 of the family's 1533-position model. The record is from RNAcentral.
AGUGAACGCUGGCGGUAGGCCUAACACAUGCAAGUCGAACGGCAGCACAGUAAGAGCUUGCUCUUACGGGUGGCGAGUGGCGGACGGGUGAGGAAUACAUCGGAAUCUACUUUUUCGUGGGGGAUAACGUAGGGAAACUUACGCUAAUACCGCAUACGACCUACGGGUGAAAGCAGGGGAUCUUCGGACCUUGCGCGAUUGAAUGAGCCGAUGUCAGAUUAGCUAGUUGGCGGGGUAAAGGCCCACCAAGGCGACGAUCCGUAGCUGGUCCGAGAGGAUGAUCAGCCACACUGGAACUGAGACACGGUCCAGACUCCUACGGGAGGCAGCAGUGGGGAAUAUUGGACAAUGGGCGCAAGCCUGAUCCAGCCAUACCGCGUGGGUGAAGAAGGCCUUCGGGUUGUAAAGCCCUUUUGUUGGGAAAGAAAAGCAGCAGGUUAAUACCCCGCUGUUCUGACGGUACCCAAAGAAUAAGCACCGGCUAACUUCGUG